GCGUCUCAGACUUGAAGACGCCUCUCCAGCAGAACUCCCUCAUUGGUCGGCAAGAGAAAACAAAGCUGGGCUCUGAUUGGUGACAGCUCUGUAGCUCCUCCUCAUACCCGCAGUCCCCGCAAGUUCCACCCCUGCCCGCCCGGUUCGCUCGCCCUUGGUUCCCACUCCCAGGUGGCUGCAGACUGGAGUGUGUUUCAUGGACGAGCAACCUCCCUGAGGAGAACCCCGGAUACGCAGGUUCAUUCGCCAGAUGCGAGUUUUCUUAAGCCGCUGCGAUUCUCUGAUUUCAGUAUGAACUUGGUGAAUAACGUAAUCUUUAACUUCCUUUGGAUUCAGACAAGUCUCCUAGGUUUAAAAAUGCUGCAUAAGAUUGAGAGGGAUAUUGUUAUGCACGAAAAAAGACAUAAGGUGUUUUCACCUUUGGCGACACUGUAGGUGACUUUUUCUUAUUACCUUUUUGUGUUCCAUAUUGAACAUGUACUACAUGAUUAGAAAAAAAAAUUCUUAAAUAGAAAAAUGAGUAGGGUGCGGAGAAUGGUAAAGACAAACUUUAAGGAAAUCCAGAGAACUGAUUCUUUCACAAUAGAAGAAAAUACAGUAAACAUGCUUAAUAUCUGAGGGCUACCCCGAAAAAACAUGAACUGGUAUCAGCGCCCUUCAGCUCUCUUAAAGAACUUUACAUAUGUGACCGAGGUGCCCCCAUACUCCUUCCUAUCAUGUAACCAACACAUAAUGUGGACAGCACUACACUGCAAACAGAAUUACAGGAAGACUCUUAUAGGAAGAAUUAGAAUCCAAAGUACACAAUCAAUAAAGCUUUAGAAAAAGGGGUAGUAAAAAGCAGAAGACAAAAAAAAAUCAGGUAAUAUAAAUUGGAAAGCUCAGCUGAUGGAGGGAAUCAUCAGAAAAAAAAUAAUGUGACAACACUUCAAGAUGUGAUAGAGACUUUGAAUGGAAAGCUGAAGGGAGAGGAAGGGGAUUGAGAUAAGGAUCAAUGACCUGCAGUUAAUAUGAGCUCUCAGAACACAUCCCCCAGAACUGGUGUCAGCCUAGAAGGCAAGAAGCAUUUCUCACCUAGGGACCACUCUCACUUAACUCUCUCUAGCUGCCUUAACAUUCUGUUUGUUCUUGUCAUUCUCGCAAAGUUCUAAAACAGGCUAUUUGAAAUUAAGCACUUCCCCCCAGCAACUCCGUGAAUUACGUAAUAGUGAAAAAUGGAGAUAGACAAAAAGCAAACCUGAGGAAGGAAAGGAAUGUUAAGAGUCACCAGUAAAAUGAGCAUUCAUUCAUUAAGCCAAUCAUCAGGAAUGGAUCUAGGAAGAACCUACUGUUUACUAGAAAUAGGUUAGAUCUGUGGAUAUAACAAUGAAUAAGACAAGACUGGUGGAUCUAUAGAGAAACUAUUACUGCACAGGUGAUGGGGAAAUCAAGAGUACUAUGGGGCCAAGGAGACUGUCCUGCAGCAAAUGAGGAAUAAGCUGAAACAUCAGUAGGAGCCAUCCCAGAGAAAAGGGACAGGGUUCUAGAUCCAGAGAACAACAGAAGAGCAUUCAGCGCCUGCAAGGGAGCAGGGGAUCUAAUGCAAAGCCAUUGCAUAACCAGUCAACUUUCCCCACAUCACAAGAUUGCCUAGCCUGGAUGGCCCCAGAAUGUUGAAACAAAUGUCUAAUUAGUAACGACAUUCUGAAUGCUUGGGAGCUGAGCAAAAUAUGAGGAGAAGCAACCUGAUUUUUGUUUCAUAUUAUCAUCUCCUUUAUUCCAGCAACAAAAGACACUGAAAAUAGUAAAUGCCCACUUUCAACCAUGACAGCCCUUUUAGGAUAGUAACGGUGAGCAGUAUUAAUCCUAUUUGACCAGAACUAGGGCAGAAUUGAAGCCCCUGGAGUAGAGAUCUGUUCUAUUAGCCCCAGCCUUUCCGCCUGCUUCUUGGGAUGGCUAUCUUUACUUUAUCAGUUGAGCCUCCAGCAUUAGCAGAUACCUAUAAGGGAAGAGAUCCAGCCCUCACUAUGGAGGGCCAGAAAGAGAAAGCACCAGACAUUAGGAAAUGUCAAAGUAUCUCAGUACAUCCAGCUGAUUAGUGACAGAUAAGUCAAAAUUUGCAGCAACUAAAUAAAUCAAAAAGUAGAUUUUAAAA
Molecule: non-coding RNA, 2134 nt
Organism: Homo sapiens (human)
Lineage: Eukaryota; Metazoa; Chordata; Mammalia; Primates; Hominidae
Source: RefSeq, a predicted model, not a curated record